Molecule: non-coding RNA, 26 nt
Filed under: Cricetulus griseus (Chinese hamster)
Lineage: Eukaryota; Metazoa; Chordata; Mammalia; Rodentia; Cricetidae
Source: RNAcentral
AGAAGUCAGUGAUUAACAAAGGAACA